AGCCUGACCAGCCAUGCCGCGUGCAGGAUGACGGUCCUAUGGAUUGUAAACUGCUUUUGUACGGGAAGAAACACUCCGACGUGUCGGAGCUUGACGGUACCGUAAGAAUAAGGAUCGGCUAACUCCGUGCCAGCAGCCGCGGUAAUACGGAGGAUCCAAGCGUUAUCCGGAAUCAUUGGGUUUAAAGGGUCCGUAGGCGGUCUGGUAAGUCAGUGGUGAAAGCCCAUCGCUCAACGGUGGAACGGCCAUUGAUACUGCUGGACUUGAAUUACUGGGAAGCAACUAGAAUAUGUAGUGUAGCGGUGAAAUGCUUAGAGAUUACAUGGAAUACCAAUUGCGAAGGCAGGUUGCUACCAGUGGAUUGACGCUGAUGGACGAAAGCGUGGGUAGCGAACAGGAUUAGAUACCCUGGUAGUCCACGCCGUAAACGAUGGAUACUAGCUGUUGGGAGCAAUCUCAGUGGCUAAGCGAAAGUGAUAAGUAUCCCACCUGGGGAGUACGUUCGCAAGAAUGAAACUCAAAGGAAUUGACGGGGGCCCGCACAAGCGGUGGAGCAUGUGGUUUAAUUCGAUGAUACGCGAGGAACCUUACCAAGGCUUAAAUGCAGACUGACCGAUUUGGAAACAGAUCUUU
This 633-nucleotide ribosomal RNA is filed under the name Flavobacterium sp. So1Ps_574. RNAcentral's name for it is "bacterial SSU rRNA". It matches the Rfam family "Bacterial small subunit ribosomal RNA", at positions 380 to 1015 of the family's 1533-position model. The record is from RNAcentral. Lineage: Bacteria; Pseudomonadati; Bacteroidota; Flavobacteriia; Flavobacteriales; Flavobacteriaceae.